This 642-nucleotide ribosomal RNA is filed under the name uncultured bacterium. RNAcentral describes it as "bacterial SSU rRNA". It matches the Rfam family "Bacterial small subunit ribosomal RNA", at positions 233 to 885 of the family's 1533-position model. The record is from RNAcentral.
GCGGCCUAUCAGCUUGUUGGUGAGGUAAUGGCUCACCAAGGCGACGACGGGUAGCCGGCCUGAGAGGGCGACCGGCCACACUGGGACUGAGACACGGCCCAGACUCCUACGGGAGGCAGCAGUGGGGAAUAUUGCACAAUGGGCGAAAGCCUGAUGCAGCGACGCCGCGUGAGGGAUGACGGCCUUCGGGUUGUAAACCUCUUUCAGCAGGGAAGAAGCGAAAGUGACGGUACCUGCAGAAGAAGCGCCGGCUAACUACGUGCCAGCAGCCGCGGUAAUACGUAGGGCGCAAGCGUUGUCCGGAAUUAUUGGGCGUAAAGAGCUCGUAGGCGGCUUGCCACGUCGGGUGUGAAAGCCCGGGGCUUAACCCCGGGUCUGCAUUCGAUACGGGCAGGCUAGAGUGUGGUAGGGGAGAUCGGAAUUCCUGGUGUAGCGGUGAAAUGCGCAGAUAUCAGGAGGAACACCGGUGGCGAAGGCGGAUCUCUGGGCCAUUACUGACGCUGAGGAGCGAAAGCGUGGGGAGCGAACAGGAUUAGAUACCCUGGUAGUCCACGCCGUAAACGGUGGGAACUAGGUGUUGGCGACAUUCCACGUCGUCGGUGCCGCAGCUAACGCAUUAAGUUCCCCGCCUGGGGAGUACGG